Molecule: ribosomal RNA, 253 nt
Filed under: uncultured bacterium
Lineage: Bacteria
Description: partial 16S ribosomal RNA
Rfam family: Bacterial small subunit ribosomal RNA
Source: RNAcentral
UACGUAGGGGUCGAGCGUUGUCCGGAGUUACUGGGCGUAAAGCGUGUGCAGGCGGCUCAUUGCGCCCGGCGUGAAAGCCCCCGGCUCAACCGGGGAGAGUCGUCGGGGACGGGUGAGCUUGAGGGUAUCAGGGGCUGGUGGAAUUCCAGGUGUAGCGGUGAAAUGCGUAGAUAUCUGGAGGAACACCGGUGGCGAAGGCGGCAUCCUGGACCGACACUGACACUGAGGAGCGAAAGCCAGGGGAGCAAACGGG